This is a non-coding RNA of Trichonephila clavipes, 73 nucleotides long. The record is from the annotation of a GenBank genome assembly. NCBI's taxonomy places the organism in Eukaryota, Metazoa, Arthropoda, Arachnida, Araneae, Nephilidae.
GUCUCUGUAGCGCAAUGGAUAGCGCGUUGGACUUCUAAUCCAAGGGGCGUGGGUUCGAAUCCCUCCGAGGAUG